Oryza brachyantha (malo sina) is the source of this 208-nucleotide non-coding RNA. The record is from Rfam. NCBI's taxonomy places the organism in Eukaryota, Viridiplantae, Streptophyta, Magnoliopsida, Poales, Poaceae.
AAUAACUUUAUUUUUUGUUUUUCCGUAUCCAACGUUUGACCAUUCGUCUUAUUUGAAAAAUUUGUAUAAAAAAUUAAAAAAAUUAGUCACGCAUAAAGUACUAUUCAUGUUUUAUCAUCUAGUAAGAAUAAAAAUAUUAGUUGCAAAAAAAUUUCAAAUAAGACGAAGAGUCAAAAUAUUGUAUCAAAAAACUGAAAAUGAUCUUAUU